GUAUGAAUGUGACAGUUAUUGGGUCAGACGGUGUAUGAAUGUGACAGUUAUUGGGUCAGACAGUGUAUGAAUGUGACAGUUAUUGGGUCAGACGGUGUAUGAAUGUGACAGUUAUUGGGUCAGACGGUGUAUGAAUGUGACAGUUAUUGGGUCAGACGGUGUGUGAAUGUGACAGUUAUUGGGUCAGACAGUGUAUGAAUGUGACAGUUAUUGGGUCAGACAGUGAUUGAAUGUGACAGUUAUUGGGUCAGACGGUGUAUGAAUGUGACAGUUAUUGGGUCAGACAGUGAAUGAAUGUGACAGUUAUUGGGUCAGACAGUGUAUGAAUGUGACAGUUAUUGGGUCAGACAGUGAAUGAAUGUGACAGUUAUUGGGUCAGACAGUGUAUGAAUG
This 393-nucleotide long non-coding RNA is filed under the name Pelobates cultripes (western spadefoot toad). The record is from RNAcentral. Lineage: Eukaryota; Metazoa; Chordata; Amphibia; Anura; Pelobatidae.